CUAAUACCGAAUAUGACCACGCGCUUCAUGGUGUGUGGUGGAAAGCUUUUGCGGUGUGGGAUGGGCCCGCGGCCUAUCAGCUUGUUGGUGGGGUAAUGGCCUACCAAGGCGACGACGGGUAGCCGGCCUGAGAGGGUGACCGGCCACACUGGGACUGAGAUACGGCCCAGACUCCUACGGGAGGCAGCAGUGGGGAAUAUUGCACAAUGGGCGCAAGCCUGAUGCAGCGACGCCGCGUGAGGGAUGACGGCCUUCGGGUUGUAAACCUCUUUCAAUAGGGACGAAGCGCAAGUGACGGUACCUAUAGAAGAAGGACCGGCCAACUACGUGCCAGCAGCCGCGGUAAUACGUAGGGUCCGAGCGUUGUCCGGAAUUACUGGGCGUAAAGAGCUCGUAGGUGGUUUGUCGCGUUGUUCGUGAAAACUCACAGCUUAACUGUGGGCGUGCGGGCGAUACGGGCAGACUAGAGUACUGCAGGGGAGACUGGAAUUCCUGGUGUAGCGGUGGAAUGCGCAGAUAUCAGGAGGAACACCGGUGGCGAAGGCGGGUCUCUGGGCAGUAACUGACGCUGAGGAGCGAAAGCGUGGGGAGCGAACAGGAUUAGAUACCCUGGUUAGUCCACGCCGUAAACGGUGGGUACUAGG
RNAcentral lists this ribosomal RNA (644 nucleotides) under Mycolicibacterium fortuitum. Its description in RNAcentral is "bacterial SSU rRNA". It matches the Rfam family "Bacterial small subunit ribosomal RNA", at positions 163 to 820 of the family's 1533-position model. The record is from RNAcentral. Lineage: Bacteria; Bacillati; Actinomycetota; Actinomycetes; Mycobacteriales; Mycobacteriaceae.